This 241-nucleotide ribosomal RNA is filed under the name uncultured bacterium. RNAcentral describes it as "partial 16S ribosomal RNA". It matches the Rfam family "Bacterial small subunit ribosomal RNA", at positions 57 to 305 of the family's 1533-position model. The record is from RNAcentral.
GCAAGUCGUGCGAGAAGUGUUUUUUGCUUGCAUUGAACACGGACAGCGGCGAAAGGGAGAGUAACGUGUGGUUACAUGCCCAGGGGUCCAGGAUAGCGUUGGGAAACUGGCGGUAAUACUGGAUAAUAUCUUUGGAUCAAAGGUGUGAUUCCGCCCUUGGAUUGGACCGCAUACUAUUAGCUUGUUGGUGAGGUAAUGGCUCACCAAGGCUGCGAUGGUUACCGGGUGUGAGAGCAUGGCC